Molecule: long non-coding RNA, 1296 nt
Organism: Orbicella faveolata
Lineage: Eukaryota; Metazoa; Cnidaria; Anthozoa; Scleractinia; Merulinidae
Source: RefSeq, a predicted model, not a curated record
UCAAACGUUGUAAGUUUGGACGGCGAUCAAACAUGUUUGAUACGGUUUGGCACUCAAUACAACAUCAACAUGUUUGGUCACCAAACUAUUGUUUGAUCAUGUUUGCUCGCCAAACAUUUCCCGUUUGGACAGGACUUAACAACUCCAUUUCGUCUUCUUGUGCAUUUCUCCUUUCCUAGACUCUAGUUGGGUGUACGUUGGCCCGCGUAGAAUUAGGAUCAAGCCUGCGAACGUCAUUUUCAAGACUGAAGAGUCUCAGUUCACAUUUUAGAAAACAAAGCUCUUGCAGUGGAGGCAAUCUUAUCAAGAUAGAUACCAACGACUGCAGGAUUUCUUCAGCUGGGAAACGGCAAUGUAAACCAAAAUGCAAUGGGUCUUCUACCAAUAACGCACAGACGAGAUUUAUGAUUGUGAAAACUGGAGGAAGGAAGUGUAUUCAAUUCACUGAUGAACCAAGCGGCACUGUAUAUGCCCUGAAAGUCGUCAACGGCACGAGUAUCACUUUUGAGUCACAGGAACAGUUGGGAUGCGACAGCGCAACUGGGGAUGAGUUCCUGUUUGCAGGAGAAAAAGUUGGAAGACUAUUUAUAUAUAAGUACAUGGCUACUAAUACACCGAUGUGUUUAGGAGUUGCUAGCGACUGCGAUGAGAAUUUAUCUCUAAUCAAAAGUACAAAUUUUCGGGACAGACGUUGUAAAUUUUCACUCCUCACCCGACGAGGUCGUUAGUGGUAGGUUUGACUUUAUAAGUAUAAACUUGGGCCACAACUGGUGUAAGGUCAGCCACACGAUAUAUUAAGAGACUUUUUUGUUUGAGGGUAACACGUAACAGUAAAUAAUAUUACUGAUGAACUUGUGGCCCUCUAAUAAAUGCAAAAAUGCAAAUAAUAUAAACUACAUUAGAAAUAGAUAUUAUUUACAGUAGAAAUAGAAAUAAAAAUAUUUCUAGAAUUUGAUAACGGGACAAAUCGACUUAAAACGAAGAACAUGUAAACAUCUAUCUAUUGCCAUUAAUUUAUAUCAAACGAUGCCUUUGGAAUCAAAAGCUGACUUGUAGGAACAUUCAAGCUGCUAUAUAAAGCGGUGAAGUUUUUAUGCCGCUUUGUGAUACGUAUUUCAUUUCAUCCAAUGAUUCUUAGAAACAGCGAUGUUCACAAUAUCUCAACUUAAAUAUUUAUAUUGAUAUUGUUAAAUUUAAGAGGGAAACGCGACUUGUUGGUAGAAGCAGGAUGUAAUUCAUUAUUUAUGUCAAGACUCCUGUGAAGGAAAAUCGGACCCAAGACACCAAACUAUAUUU